UUCAGCUUAUGAUGGAUAUUUAAGUGGUUUUAUAAAUAUAGAAUCCCAAGCCAAUUUCAUUUUUAAUAAUAAAAAUCCAAACCCCAAAAGAAGAAUUCUCUAGAACUCCAUUGGAUCUUUAAUAAAGGAGGGAGCUUGAAUCAUGAUUUUUCCAUCAAUUCUCCUUCAAUUUCGUGGAUAGUCAUCAAUUAAGGUUCCAGUCGUUCAACGUCUUUUGGAUGACUUUGAAGAAGACUUGGAAUUCAAAAACAUACAAGUUGGGUAGGUCCUCACUUUCCGAGGGCAAUGCCACUAUGAAGCUAUGAUGUUGUUUAGUUGCAAGACUAUUAUGUAUCAUUGCUUUUCAUUUUGAUACUAAGUAUUGUAUGAUAUAUAUGUAGUAUUAUUGUAUUGAUGUAUGGGUGUAAUGACCCGAAAUAAACCUUAGAAAUGAAGGUACUCUUAGAUCGCCACG
This is a long non-coding RNA of Solanum lycopersicum (tomato), 454 nucleotides long. RefSeq lists it as uncharacterized. Lineage: Eukaryota; Viridiplantae; Streptophyta; Magnoliopsida; Solanales; Solanaceae. The record is from RefSeq and is a predicted model, not a curated record.